Molecule: transfer RNA, 72 nt
Filed under: Bos taurus (domestic cattle)
Lineage: Eukaryota; Metazoa; Chordata; Mammalia; Artiodactyla; Bovidae
Also listed under: 3 other names
Rfam family: tRNA
About the family: Transfer RNA (tRNA) molecules are approximately 80 nucleotides in length.
Source: Rfam by way of RNAcentral
UCCCUAGUGGCUCAGAGGUUAAAGCGUCUGCCUACAAUGUGGGAGACCUGGGUUCGAUCCCUGGGUUGGGAA